This 301-nucleotide ribosomal RNA is filed under the name uncultured bacterium. RNAcentral describes it as "partial 16S ribosomal RNA". It matches the Rfam family "Bacterial small subunit ribosomal RNA", at positions 509 to 807 of the family's 1533-position model. The record is from RNAcentral.
CAGCCGCCGCGGUAAUGCGUAGGGUGCGAGCGUUAAUCGGAAUUACUGGGCGUAAAGCGUGCGUAGGUGGUGGUUUAAGUCCGUUGUGAAAGCCCUGGGCUCAACCUGGGAAUUGCAGUGGAUACUGGGUCACUAGAGUGUGGUAGAGGAUAGUGGAAUUUCCGGUGUAGCAGUGAAAUGCGUAGAGAUCGGAAGGAACAUCUGUGGCGAAGGCGACUAUCUGGGCCAACACUGACACUGAGGCACGAAAGCGUGGGGAGCAAACAGGAUUAGAUACCCCCGUAGUCCCUGUCUCUUAUAC